UAUCCCCCUGUGUGCCUUGCCCCCACGACUGCAAAACGCGAAGAACCUUACCUGGUCUUGACAUAGUAAGAACUUUCCAGAGAUGGAUUGGUGCCUUCGGGAACUUACAUACAGGUGCUGCAUGGCUGUCGUCAGCUCGUGUCAUGAGAUGUUGGGUUAAGUCCCGCAACGAGCGCAACCCUUUUCCUUAUUUGCCAGCGGGUUAAGCCGGGAACUUUAAGGAUACUGCCAGUGACAAACUGGAGGAAGGCGGGGACGACGUCAAGUCAUCAUGGCCCUUACGACCAGGGCUACACACGUGCUACAAUGGUCGGUACAAAGGGUUGCUACCUAGCGAUAGGAUGCUAAUCUCAAAAAGCCGAUCGUAGUCCGGAUUGGAGUCUGCAACUCGACUCCAUGAAGUCGGAAUCGCUAGUAAUCGCGGAUCAGAAUGCCGCGGUGAAUACGUUCCCGGGUCUUGUACACACCG
RNAcentral lists this ribosomal RNA (469 nucleotides) under uncultured bacterium. Its description in RNAcentral is "bacterial SSU rRNA". It matches the Rfam family "Bacterial small subunit ribosomal RNA", at positions 958 to 1392 of the family's 1533-position model. The record is from RNAcentral.